This 301-nucleotide ribosomal RNA is filed under the name uncultured bacterium. RNAcentral's name for it is "partial 16S ribosomal RNA". It matches the Rfam family "Bacterial small subunit ribosomal RNA", at positions 509 to 807 of the family's 1533-position model. The record is from RNAcentral.
CAGUAGCCACGGUAAUACGAAGGGUGCAAGCGUUACUCGGAAUUACUGGGCGUAAAGCGUGCGUAGGUGGUGGUUUAAGUCCGUUGUGAAAGCCCUGGGCUCGACCUGGGAAUUGCAGUGGAUACUGGGUCACUAGAGUGUGGUAGAGGAUAGUGGAAUUUCCGGUGUAGCAGUGAAAUGCGUAGAGAUCGGAAGGAACAUCUGUGGCGAAGGCGACUAUCUGGGCCAACACUGACACUGAGGCACGAAAGCGUGGGGAGCAAACAGGAUUAGAUACCCCUGUAGUCCCUGUCUCUUAUAC